This is a long non-coding RNA of Hyalella azteca, 391 nucleotides long. RefSeq lists it as uncharacterized. NCBI's taxonomy places the organism in Eukaryota, Metazoa, Arthropoda, Malacostraca, Amphipoda, Hyalellidae. The record is from RefSeq and is a predicted model, not a curated record. The transcript is spliced from 3 exons.
GGUGUGCACAGGGAUGAAGGUCAUUCCAGACGACGGCAGAGGCUCUCUGGCUUCCCAAAGAUGGAAUCAGGAAUCGCUAAUUACGAGCGUCGGCAUUCCUUAUGGGAACCACUCCCUCUCCUUCGUCCAACCGGGAUCCGGAUAUAGACACAGCAGCGCUGGUAGGGACGCGGUGCCCUCACAUGAUGGAUUGGAGGCGAGGGCUGCCUGACGUGCAGCCCUCGGGGGGAGAGACGAGGGGCUUACGAGGGAAGAGGCUCGUGAUCAACUCCAGAUAAUGGGCAUCAUGAAAUAUUUUUUAAAUAUAUUAUUUAAUCAUCAUCGUUAAUUUUAAGAAGAAUAUAUCUCUAUAAAGUGGGAAAUUAACUCGUAAAAUGAAGUUAUAUAUAAA